UCACCUAUGUACAUCUGCCCCUGCUCACCGCGUACGUCACCGUCUUCUCCUCUUCGCCGCCGUCCUUGUUCUGAUCCAAAAGCUCCUUCACUGGAACGCUAACCUCUCCGACGGGCUUAUCGCCGGCGAUGGGACGAUCAGCCACGAUCUCGAUGACUAAGAACCGAGCCUUCACAUGGAGGUAGAGGGAGAAGAUGAGUUCAGGGAAGAGUAUGCUUGCCCCUUCUGCUCAGACUAUUUCUGAUAUCGUCUCUCUCUGCUGCCACAUAGACGAAGAUCAUCCCAUGGACACUAUCAAUGGGAUAACUUCUUGGGGUUUGAGGAGGUGGUCUUCUUAUUCCCUGGAGGAUGGCCGGAGUCUCGAGAGAUUGUCGGAUUCUAACAAGUGAAUACUCUCCUUCUCUUCUCCUCUCUUACCGUAUGUUUUGGCCAUGUUUGUUUCUUCAUUUAGAUGAAUCCAUUCAGCUGAUCCAUUUAUGUGCUCCAUCUAAAUGAUCCAUUCAAAUUUUUGGUCAUGUUUGUUUCUCCAUUUGGAUGAGUCAUUUGAAUGAACCAUUUGAAUGAAUUUUAUGUUUGUUUCUCCAUUUAGAUGAAUCAUUCAAAUGAGUUUAAUAACCAAAUUACAUAUAU
Brassica oleracea var. oleracea is the source of this 630-nucleotide long non-coding RNA. RefSeq lists it as uncharacterized. Lineage: Eukaryota; Viridiplantae; Streptophyta; Magnoliopsida; Brassicales; Brassicaceae. The record is from RefSeq and is a predicted model, not a curated record. The transcript is spliced from 3 exons.